AGCCCUAGUAGUAUAACACCAUUACCCCGGUCUUGUAAACCGAAA
This 45-nucleotide transfer RNA is filed under the name Nycticebus coucang (slow loris). Its description in RNAcentral is "partial tRNA-Thr". Lineage: Eukaryota; Metazoa; Chordata; Mammalia; Primates; Lorisidae. The record is from RNAcentral. RNAcentral also lists the same sequence under 1 other name.